CGUAUUUACAAUCAGAAUCGAAAGACAAGACUGGAUAGUUGGUUGCGCGCUAACGCGCGCGAUAGAUCGCGAAACUCAUGGCGUGUGUGAGUGCAAGUGCGUGCUCGAAAUCUGAAACAACAAAGGAAGAGGAGGAAACUGUUCAAAAAAUUCAAUUAAAAGAUAACAAUGUCGAGGAAACACAUUCGUUAAUGGAAAAUCAUUCUACAAGGACUACUACUAAUGGUUUAUCAAAACCACCAGACGGAGGAUGGGGCUGGUUCGUCGUCCUUGCGUCCUUUCUCAUACACGUUAUUACCGAUGGGGUGACUUAUUCUUUUGGUGUUUUUUAUUUGGAACUUCUUUAUUACUUCGAGGAAGGAAAAGGAGCAACUGCUUGGAUUGCUUCCAUACUCGUUGGUGUAACUUUGUGUUCAGGUCCAAUAUCUGGAUUGUUUGUGAACAAAUAUGGCUGUCGAGCGGUAACCAUAGCAGGUUCAAUUUUAGCAAGUACUUGUCUGUUAGCAAGUGUAUGGGCAGGUAGUAUCAUUAUGUUAUACUUCACCAUUGGCCUUGGAACAGGUUUAGGUUUUGGAUUAAUAUAUUUACCAGCUAUAGUGAGCGUUACUUGUUACUUUGAAAAGUAUCGUUCGUUAGCUACGGGUAUAGCCGUUUGUGGUUCAGGUUUAGGAACUCUCGUUUUUGCUCCUUGUUUGGAAUCUCUUAUAUCAAAUUAUGGAUGGAGAGGAACAAUGAUGAUAUGUUCUGGUAUUGUUUUGAAUUGUAUUGUACUCGGAGCUUUUUUCAGACCACUCGAAACUCCAGUGUCUAAAAGGAAUCGUAAUUCAGAGGGAAUAUAUCAUGAAUUACAAAGUAGAGACAAAUUUACCAAUCAAGAUGAAUGUUCAAAUGAAGUUAACGAUCUGAAAAAUAAUAUUAAAUUCAAUAAUGUAAAUGAUAUUGAAAAGGAAGUUAUGCCACUUUCUUUUGGUAUGAGGACUGCUUUAAGUCAUCCUGUAUUAAUAACUAAAGUUAGCAGUCAUUAUAAACAAUCACUUAUAAGAGGAUUUGGAAGUGUCGAAGUGAACAGGUGUUACAACGGAUUUCAUCAUGGCAGUCUGGGAAACAUUCGUAAUUAUUCUAAAUCCUUGGAUGUUAAUAAUAAAGAGGAUAUUACUCACUCAGAUACAUAUUUUAAAAAUGUAUCGAAGAAUAUUGAAAUAAAUAAGGCUAAAAAUAAUACGGCAUUGUCCCCUAAAUCUGAAAAUACGAGAGAUAUACUUGAAGAUAUGGAGGAUACUUCUCUUUUAAAGAAUCCUAUGUUCAUUCUUUUUACAUUUUCUAAUUUUUGUACCAGUAUUGGAUUUAAUGUGCCUUAUAUAUACCUACUGCCACAAGCAGAAGAACGAGGAAUAAACAAAAGCUUAGCUAGUUAUUUACUUGCAAUUAUUGGAGUAGCUAAUACUUUAGGUCGUAUUAUUUUAGGAUAUGUAUCUGAUAAGCCAUGGAUCAAUCGACUUCUUGUCUAUAAUAUUUGUUUAACGAUAUGUGGUGCUGCUACACUAUUUAGCACUUUAUGUACCAAUUUUUAUACUUUUGCAUUUUACUGUAUCGUUUAUGGCUUUACUGCUGGAGCAUACGUAGGCCUUACUUCUGUUAUUUUAGUUGAUUUAUUAGGCUUAAGUCGUCUUACAAAUUCCUUUGGAUUAUUAUUACUUUUCCAAGGCUUUGCAUCUCUUCUUGGACCACCUAUAGCAGGUUGGUUAUAUGAUGGACUUGGUUCAUAUGACCCUGGUUUUUAUACUGCUGGCAGUAUGAUUGCUAUUAGUGGUUUAAUAUUAUUUUUAAUUCCUUUAUUACAAAAACAAGAAGAUGCAAGAAAACUGAAGAGAUUAGGUGGAAUGAAUUCUCAAAUAGCAUAGACUGAAUAUAAAAAUUACACAUAUAUCCUUAAACGAUAUACUUCUGAUAAUUAUAAUAAAACGACAAAAUAAUAAAUUGAAGUAAAAAGAUAAAUCAAAUUUACAAUUAGUCCUUUCUAUUCAAAUGAAGCAUUAUAUGCCGCCUAACAAUUGCGCAUGCGCACAAAAUUCUUCAUUCCGGUAAGAACCAAUAAAAAUGAUUAUAACAGUACUACGGUUGGGGUAUAGUGGGGGAAGACGUAAUAGAACAGAACAAAGAGAACCUCCAUCUUGGACUGUGGUGCUUUCAUCAAUAAAUUAAAAAGAACGACUUGUGUGUGUUUUUUUUUAAUUAAAAAUUAGAAUUAAAUUAAAAAAAAAAA
RNAcentral lists this unclassified non-coding RNA (2263 nucleotides) under Polistes dominula (European paper wasp). RNAcentral's name for it is "monocarboxylate transporter 12, transcript variant X1". Lineage: Eukaryota; Metazoa; Arthropoda; Insecta; Hymenoptera; Vespidae. The record is from RNAcentral.